RNAcentral lists this non-coding RNA (127 nucleotides) under Chryseobacterium arachidis. RNAcentral describes it as "FMN sequence". It matches the Rfam family "FMN riboswitch aptamer (RFN element)". Rfam says of the family: The RFN element is a highly conserved domain that is found frequently in the 5'-untranslated regions of prokaryotic mRNAs that encode for flavin mononucleotide (FMN) biosynthesis and transport proteins. This element is a metabolite-dependent riboswitch that directly binds FMN in the absence of proteins. The record is from RNAcentral. Lineage: Bacteria; Pseudomonadati; Bacteroidota; Flavobacteriia; Flavobacteriales; Weeksellaceae.
AGUUUUCUUCGGGGCAGGGUGAAAUUCCCUACCGGCGGUUACAGUCCGCGACUCCUUUCUUUUUGAGAGGACUGAUUUGGUGAAAUUCCAAAACCGACAGUUAAAGUCUGGAUGGGAGAAGAAAAUG